RNAcentral lists this long non-coding RNA (328 nucleotides) under Toxoplasma gondii VEG. Lineage: Eukaryota; Apicomplexa; Conoidasida; Eucoccidiorida; Sarcocystidae. The record is from RNAcentral.
GUAUCGUGUGCUUGGGGGGACCCAGCGAGGAUGAGCUGGUCGGAGACACGUGACGGCGACGACCAAGGCACAGCAUGGUGAAUAUGCAGAUACACCAUACUGGCAGUGGCUUCGAUGUACUUUGGUUUCGUCACCCACGAACAUGAUGGUAGACUUUUCUCCGUAGGUCGAGAAGUAAAAUCCAGUCGUUUCUUCGAGCAGGAGCUUGCUUCGCGAGAGCAAUGGCACAACUUGGUCAACUAAUGGCGGCCGCUUUCCCCAACGCACAGAUGUACGUGAGAGACAAACAGAAUCUCAUUUUCCUGUUCAGGUUUCAAUACCAUGCCAG